UGAGGAAUAUUGGUCAAUGGGCGCAAGCCUGAACCAGCCAUCCCGCGUGAAGGAAGAAUGCGCUACGCGUUGUAAACUUCUUUUCCAGGGGGAGAAUUUUCCUGUCGAGACAGGGAUUGACGGUACCCUGGGAAUAAGCAUCGGCUAACACCGUGCCAGCAGCCGCGGUAAUGCGGAGGAUGCGAGCGUUAUCCGGAUUUAUUGGGUUUAAAGGGUGCGUAGGCGGAUUGAUAAGUCAGUGGUGAAAUUCUGCAGCUUAACUGUAGACUUGCCGUUGAUACUGUUAGUCUUGAGUGUGGUCAAGGCAGGCGGAAUGUGUAAUGUAGCGGUGAAAUGCUUAGAUAUUACACAGAACACCGAUUGCGAAGGCAGCUUGCUGGGUCAUUACUGACGCUGAUGCACGAAAGCCUGGGGAUCAAACAG
Molecule: ribosomal RNA, 423 nt
Filed under: uncultured bacterium
Lineage: Bacteria
Description: bacterial SSU rRNA
Rfam family: Bacterial small subunit ribosomal RNA
Source: RNAcentral